GUGUCAGCAGCCGCGGUAAGACAGAGGGUGCAAACGUUGCUCGGAAUCACUGGGCGUAAAGGGCGUGUAGGCGGGAAGGAAAGUCGGGCGUGAAAUCCCUGGGCUCAACCCAGGAACUGCACUCGAAACUUCUUUUCUUGAGUGCCGGAGAGGAAAGCGGAAUACCUGGUGUAGAGGUGAAAUUCGUAGAUAUCAGGUGGAACACCAGUGGCGAAGGCGGCUUUCUGGACGGUAACUGACGCUGAGACGCGAAAGCGUGGGGAGCAAACAGGAUUAGAAACCCUGGUAGUCC
This 292-nucleotide ribosomal RNA is filed under the name uncultured bacterium. RNAcentral's name for it is "partial 16S ribosomal RNA". It matches the Rfam family "Bacterial small subunit ribosomal RNA", at positions 505 to 796 of the family's 1533-position model. The record is from RNAcentral.